RNAcentral lists this ribosomal RNA (492 nucleotides) under uncultured bacterium. Its description in RNAcentral is "partial 16S ribosomal RNA". It matches the Rfam family "Bacterial small subunit ribosomal RNA", at positions 30 to 507 of the family's 1533-position model. The record is from RNAcentral.
AUUGAACGCUGGCGGCAUGCUUUACACAUGCAAGUCGAACGGUAACAGGCCUUCGGGUGCUGACGAGUGGCGAACGGGUGAGUAAUACAUCGGAACGUACCCAGAGGUGGGGGAUAACGCAGCGAAAGCUGUGCUAAUACCGCAUGUGAUCUGAGGAUGACAGCGGGGGACCGAGCAGCAAUGUUUGGCCUCGCGCCUUUGGAGCGGCCGAUGUCGGAUUAGCUAGUUGGUGGGGUAAAGGCCUACCAAGGCGACGAUCCGUAGCUGGUCUGAGAGGACGACCAGCCACACUGGGACUGAGACACGGCCCAGACUCCUACGGGAGGCAGCAGUGGGGAAUUUUGGACAAUGGGCGCAAACCUGAUCCAGCAAUGCCGCGUGCGGGAAGAAGGCCUUCGGGUUGUAAACCGCUUUUGGCAGGAACGAAACGGUGUCCGCUAAUACCGGGCGCUAAUGACGGUACCUGCAGAAUAAGCACCGGCUAACUACGUG